GGAAGCUGUCAGAUUUUGUGCAUUGAUUCCUCUACGACAUGCUAUACAAGUGAAGGUUCCUGUUCCCAGAAGAACUUGGGUGAAACUCAAACUGAUCAGAUUGGUUCAUCCAUAUCUAGUUUAGAAUUCGCUAGCACCUCCACGAGUGAUUCUUGGCAGCUUAAAUUGAGGAUUGAAUCUUCCAAAUCUGGGUCAUGUAGUGGAACCUCUGAGGACUUCAGUUUUGGGGUCAACAAGAAUUCAUCAAAAGUGAAUUUUUUGAUUGGUGAUAAUCAAAGAAUUAAUGGAGACAAGAGACUUGAACUUAUGGAAGAGAGUCAAGAUCCUUUUGCUUUUGAUGAUGAUUUUGGACCUUCACGAUGGGAUUUAAUGUCUACUAAGCAAAAGGUGCCGGAAACUCAAAUUAGGCAGACAUCACUUUUUGAACGUGAUGAUGAAUACCUAUCUCUUAUUGUGCCAAGCCAGCAAGAGUCUAGUUGCCA
This 482-nucleotide unclassified non-coding RNA is filed under the name Hevea brasiliensis (rubber tree). Lineage: Eukaryota; Viridiplantae; Streptophyta; Magnoliopsida; Malpighiales; Euphorbiaceae. The record is from RNAcentral.